Molecule: long non-coding RNA, 878 nt
Organism: Mobula hypostoma (lesser devil ray)
Lineage: Eukaryota; Metazoa; Chordata; Chondrichthyes; Myliobatiformes; Myliobatidae
Exons: 3
Source: RefSeq, a predicted model, not a curated record
UAGUCCUAGUCCCACUUUCCCUAGCCCAACUCUGCAUUCUUGUCCCUGCUCCUUGCCUGAAUCGUGUCACGUCCCUACUCUAGUCAAGUCCUGUUCCUUGUACUUCAGUGUCUGUGUCUUGCAUUUGGGUUCGUUCCCAGCACCCCCAUUGUGACAGAAGGAGUAGAUCAAGAAGGGCUUAGUUCAGAUGUUGUGUUAGAAAUUGAAGGACCUCAGGAGGAAGAAUCUGCCCAGCCUUCAGACGAAGCCGAUAUUCCAUCCACUAGCCAGGAUCCUCCUGGUUCAGCUGAUGCUGCCAUCACACAACCUAAACCUUUGUGAAGAGUACGGCUUUAUCCACAGAUGGAGAGAAUUGCAGCUGGAGGACGACAAUUCAUUAGCCAAAGAGACCAGCCAAGUGGUAGGAAUUGUCUCCAGCCCAAGCCAGCGAGCAGGCAGCUGGGAGGAGAAGAAUGUGGGCCACAGCUGUGAAUUGUCUCCAGGCAGAGCAGACAUUGAGCCAGAGCUGGUUGCCGUGGAGCCUCUAUCAACAGGAAGCUCAAGGCCUUGAGCAACAGCAGGUCCAAGGCCUAGAAUUUGAAGGCAGAUUACAAAGUUAAUGGCACUAUUCUUAGCAGCGUGGAGAAACAGAGGGUUCUUGGGAUCCAGGUCCAUAGAUCUCUUGAAAUUACCAAGCGGUAACAGUCCACGUUGGCAAUGAUCUGCAGAAAAACCGCUUCAGCUGUUCCUAGGCGAUGCAACGCCUCUACAGCGCACUGAUGCCCCGUCCACUUACACUCCAGUCUCUUCCGUCUUGGACAUGAUACAAUGCUGCUUAAAUUUGAGAAGAAAUCAUUUUAUAACUUAUUCAUCUACUGAGUGGAAAUUUUAGUCCUUAA